GCGGGGUAGCUCAGUUGGUCAGAGCGCACGGCUCAUAAUCGUGAGGUCGCGGGUUCGAGCCCCGCCCCCG
This 70-nucleotide transfer RNA is filed under the name uncultured Oerskovia sp. It matches the Rfam family "tRNA". From Rfam's summary of the family: Transfer RNA (tRNA) molecules are approximately 80 nucleotides in length. Their secondary structure includes four short double-helical elements and three loops (D, anti-codon, and T loops). Further hydrogen bonds mediate the characteristic L-shaped molecular structure. tRNAs have two regions of fundamental functional importance: the anti-codon, which is responsible for specific mRNA codon recognition, and the 3' end, to which the tRNAs corresponding amino acid is attached (by aminoacyl-tRNA synthetases). tRNAs cope with the degeneracy of the genetic code in two manners: having more than one tRNA (with a specific anti-codon) for a particular amino acid; and 'wobble' base-pairing, i.e. permitting non-standard base-pairing at the 3rd anti-codon position. The record is from RNAcentral. Lineage: Bacteria; Bacillati; Actinomycetota; Actinomycetes; Micrococcales; Cellulomonadaceae.